RNAcentral lists this ribosomal RNA (243 nucleotides) under Salmonella enterica. RNAcentral's name for it is "partial 23S ribosomal RNA". It matches the Rfam family "Bacterial large subunit ribosomal RNA", at positions 1 to 244 of the family's 2925-position model. The record is from RNAcentral. RNAcentral also lists the same sequence under 1 other name. Lineage: Bacteria; Pseudomonadati; Pseudomonadota; Gammaproteobacteria; Enterobacterales; Enterobacteriaceae.
GGUUAAGCGACUAAGCGUACACGGUGGAUGCCCUGGCAGUCAGAGGCGAUGAAGGGCGUGCUAAUCUGCGAUAAGCGCCGGUAAGGUGAUAUGAACCGUUAUAACCGGCGAUACCCGAAUGGGGAAACCCAGUGUGAUUCGUCACACUAUCAUUAACUGAAUCCAUAGGUUAAUGAGGCGAACCGGGGGAACUGAAACAUCUAAGUACCCCGAGGAAAAGAAAUCAACCGAGAUUCCCCCAGU